This is a long non-coding RNA of Salvia splendens (bonfire salvia), 1382 nucleotides long. RefSeq lists it as uncharacterized. The record is from RefSeq and is a predicted model, not a curated record. The transcript is spliced from 3 exons. Lineage: Eukaryota; Viridiplantae; Streptophyta; Magnoliopsida; Lamiales; Lamiaceae.
CCCAAGCGCUCAGCGCACACAGUGACACAACACACAUUUUUCAAGAAUCCCGUUGAAGAAGAGAGUCUCUGCCAUUUAUACCCAAUUUAUUUCCCAUUCUCUCCCCUUUGCAUUUAGACCCUCAAAUUUCAUUCUCUCUCAUUUCUGUUUAGGCUGACGGGGCCUUCAGCUGGCAUAUCAAUUAAGUCAAUUGAACUGAGCUUCUUUUCCCCUCUUUAAUUUGUGACCGUAACACCAUCGCUCUUCUCUUUGCAUUCGCAGUCGAAUCGCAACGAAUCCCCAAUCUCCAGCCGUCAGAAUCACCAUCUCCUCCUUCACCACCGACGCCGUCUCUUGUAUCGCUGCCGUCCCCCCAUCCGCCUCUGAGGAAGCCCCUAGCUCAUAAAAGAAACGGAGAUUUGGGCACACCGCCGCGAAAGGGGAAGGCGAAUAAGGAGAAGAAAAUCGGGUUGAUGUUUGUGGGAGUUGCUUCGCUUUUGCAAGUUUGCAUUGUGGCUUUCUAGCUAAUCAGCAGAAGACAGCUCUUGAAAGCUCAAAAUGGCUAUCAAAGAAAUUGAACUUGAUUUCAAAAAUCCAAAUACUUGUAUCUAAGUGGAGUAUUUCAUUCAUUCUUCCUUUAUUGAUGGUGAUUGCAAUGCUGCUGAGGAUGAAGAAUUUGAAGAAUUUCUGACUCGUCAUGUAAUCUAAUGACGUCGGAUGCUCCAGUGGUGCAGCUGCCCCUUCAUUCUAUGUAAAGUAACUUGCAAAAGUGGUGAUCAAGAAUGCUGAGAUCACUCUUGUUUUCACCUGUAAAAUGCUGCUGAGUAGCUGAUCCCGGGCUAAGCCUUUCUAUCACCAGUUCGGCUUUGGACCAUGGUGGUGUAGCAUAAAGAAGUGAUUAUUGUAGUGAUUGAAACCAACAACUAAGAUGUUGAAGAAUUUUUCCAGCAAUGUGGUCCUGGUAGGAUUUCGGUUUGUACACUAAUCAAUUAUUUUUUUUUGGUUCAUUUUUAAUUGCCGGUUUUGAAUCGGUUUGGGUUGACCUUUUGAUGCAUAUUUGUGUAUUCGUUACUGUUUCCGUUCGUACGGAGUUUCAUUUUGAUGUUUUGGGUGAAGAUUAAUGUAUCUGCAAAUUGUGAUUUUGAACCAGACUUAAACGCCAAUUAAGUUAUCAUUGCCGAUUUUCAGCUUAUUUGUGCCUCACCUAACACCAUCAAACUUUGUAACUCAGUGGCGUGGAGCCUUUAAAGCAGAGGGGAAACCCGGGUUCAAAUUGUGUUUUUAGAUUAUUUUUUUUCUGUAAAAAAUAAAGAAACGAAAAAACUGCAUCACUCACAGAAACUACCAAAGCCGACACUGCUCUCGAUGAGCCAAAACUCCAGCUGGUUUGAUUCCAUCAAAAA